CUACGGGACGCACCAGUGGGGAAUAUUGGGCAAUGGGCGCAAGCCUGACCCAGCAACGUCGCGUGAGGGAAGAAGGUUUUCGGAUUGUAAACCUCUGUCCUUGGGGACGAAGAAGUGACGGUACCCAAGGAGGAAGCUCCGGCUAACUACGUGCCAGCAGCCGCGGUAAUACGUAGGGAGCAAGCGUUGUCCGGAAUUACUGGGCGUAACGGGUGCGUAGGCGGCAUAUUAAGUCAGGUGUGAAAUACUCGGGCUCAACCCGGGGGCUGCAUUUGAAACUGAUAUGCUUGAGUGUGAGAGAGGAAAGUGGAAUUCCUAGUGUAGCGGUGGAAUGCGUAGAUAUUAGGAGGAACACCAGUGGCGAAGGCGACUUUCUGGCUCAUAACUGACGCUGAGGCACGAAAGCGUGGGGAGCAAACAGGAUUAGAUACCCCAGUAGUC
This 441-nucleotide ribosomal RNA is filed under the name uncultured bacterium. RNAcentral's name for it is "partial 16S ribosomal RNA". It matches the Rfam family "Bacterial small subunit ribosomal RNA", at positions 339 to 795 of the family's 1533-position model. The record is from RNAcentral.